This 468-nucleotide ribosomal RNA is filed under the name uncultured bacterium. RNAcentral's name for it is "partial 16S ribosomal RNA". It matches the Rfam family "Bacterial small subunit ribosomal RNA", at positions 28 to 507 of the family's 1533-position model. The record is from RNAcentral.
GACGAACGCUGGCGGCGUGCUUAACACAUGCAAGUCGAACGGAAAGGCCCUGCUUUUGUGGGGUGCUCGAGUGGCGAACGGGUGAGUAACACGUGAGUAACCUGCCCUUGACUUUGGGAUAACUUCAGGAAACUGGGGCUAAUAACGGAUAGGAGCUCCUGCUGCAUGGUGGGGGUUGGAAAGUUUCGGCGGUUGGGGAUGGACUCGCGGCUUAUCAGCUUGUUGGUGGGGUAGUGGCUUACCAAGGCUUUGACGGGUAGCCGGCCUGAGAGGGUGACCGGCCACAUUGGGACUGAGGUACGGCCCAGACUCCUACGGGAGGCAGCAGUGGGGAAUAUUGCACAAUGGGCGGAAGCCUGAUGCAGCAACGCCGCGUGCGGGAUGACGGCCUUCGGGUUGUAAACCGCUUUCGCCUGUGACGAAGCGUGAGUGACGGUAAUGGGUAAAGAAGCACCGGCUAACUACGUG